UACGAAGGGGGCUAGCGUUGUUCGGAAUCACUGGGCGUAAAGGGCGCGUAGGCGGCCGCUCAAGUCGGGGGUGAAAGCCUGUGGCUUAACCACAGAAUUGCCUUCGAUACUGUUUGGCUUGAGACCGGAAGAGGUGAGUGGAACUGCGAGUGUAGAGGUGAAAUUCGUAGAUAUUCGGAAGAACACCAGUGGCGAAGGCGGCUCACUGGACGACUGUUGACGCUGAGGUGCGAAAGCGUGGGGAGCAAACAGG
This 253-nucleotide ribosomal RNA is filed under the name uncultured bacterium. RNAcentral describes it as "partial 16S ribosomal RNA". It matches the Rfam family "Bacterial small subunit ribosomal RNA", at positions 524 to 776 of the family's 1533-position model. The record is from RNAcentral.